GUAGGGAAUAUUGGGCAAUGGAUGAAAGUCUGACCCAGCCAUGCCGCGUGCCGGAUGAAGGCGCUCAGCGUUGUAAACUGCUUUUAACCGGGAAGAAACCCCAGGACGUGUCCUGGGUUGACGGUACCGGAGGAAUAAGCACCGGCUAACUUCGUGCCAGCAGCCGCGGUAAUACGAAGGGUGCAAGCGUUAUCCGGAUUCAUUGGGUUUAAAGGGUGCGUAGGCGGAGCGUUAAGUCAGUGGUGAAAUCCUGCAGCUUAACUGUAGACUUGCCAUUGAUACUGGCGCUCUUGAGUGCGCUUGAAGUGGGCGGAAUGUGCCGUGUAGCGGUGAAAUGCUUAGAUAUGGCACAGAACACCAAUUGCGAAGGCAGCUCACUAAGGCGAUACUGACGCUGAGGCACGAAAGCGUGGGGAUCGAACAGGAUUAGAAACCCGGGUAGUCC
This 445-nucleotide ribosomal RNA is filed under the name uncultured bacterium. RNAcentral's name for it is "partial 16S ribosomal RNA". It matches the Rfam family "Bacterial small subunit ribosomal RNA", at positions 354 to 796 of the family's 1533-position model. The record is from RNAcentral.